RNAcentral lists this ribosomal RNA (800 nucleotides) under uncultured bacterium. RNAcentral's name for it is "bacterial SSU rRNA". It matches the Rfam family "Bacterial small subunit ribosomal RNA", at positions 8 to 804 of the family's 1533-position model. The record is from RNAcentral.
AGAGUUUGAUCAUGGCUCAGGAUGAACGCUGGCGGCGUGCUUAACACAUGCAAGUCGAACGAAGCACUUUAUUUGAUUUCCUUCGGGGAUGAAGAUUUUGUGACUGAGUGGCGGACGGGUGAGUAACGCGUGGGGAACCUGCCCCAUACAGGGGGAUAACAGCUGGAAACGGCUGCUAAUACCGCAUAAGCGCACAGGGCCGCAUGGCCCGGUGUGAAAAACUCCGGUGGUAUGGGAUGGACCCGCGUCUGAUUAGCUAGUUGGUGGGGCAACGGCCCACCAAGGCGACGAUCAGUAGCCGACCUGAGAGGGUGGCCGGCCACAUUGGGACUGAGACACGGCCCAAACUCCUACGGGAGGCAGCAGUGGGGAAUAUUGCACAAUGGGCGAAAGCCUGAUGCAGCGACGCCGCGUGAGUGAAGAAGUAUUUCGGUAUGUAAAGCUCUAUCAGCAGGGAAGAAAAAUGACGGUACCUGACUAAGAAGCACCGGCUAAAUACGUGCCAGCAGCCGCGGUAAUACGUAUGGUGCAAGCGUUAUCCGGAUUUACUGGGUGUAAAGGGAGCGCAGGCGGUACGGCAAGUCUGAUGUGAAAGCCCGGGGCUCAACCCCGGUACUGCAUUGGAAACUGUCGAACUAGAGUGUCGGAGGGGUAAGUGGAAUUCCUAGUGUAGCGGUGAAAUGCGUAGAUAUUAGGAGGAACACCAGUGGCGAAGGCGGCUUACUGGACGAUUACUGACGCUGAGGCUCGAAAGCGUGGGGAGCAAACAGGAUUAGAUACCCUGGGUAGUCCACGCCGUA